Molecule: long non-coding RNA, 2270 nt
Organism: Ictalurus punctatus (channel catfish)
Lineage: Eukaryota; Metazoa; Chordata; Actinopteri; Siluriformes; Ictaluridae
Exons: 2
Source: RefSeq, a predicted model, not a curated record
UCUAUAUCCUGAAUUAAUAUAUUUCUGUAAAGCUUCAUUGGGACAAUGUCCAUCGUUAAAUGCGCUAUACGAAUAAAACUGAAUUGAAUUUAUUAUUUUUAUAAAAACAUUUUUUAUAUAAAUUACUAUUACAAAUGAAAUUGUGAAUUCAGUUACAACACGACUUAUAAUGGUACCUCAUUCAAUGUAAAACGGAAAAAAAUUCAAUCUGGCAACUUAAAUCUUACCCGGAUGUCAACCUCAGCAGCGAGUUGCCGCCCUUCGAGAACUUCUUCUCUGAUCCUCAAACCUCAGCUUGACCUCUUUCUUUCUUAAACAGUAAAUAUUAGUCUCGUUACUAGGACUAGUCACACGUUAAGAAAUCUUCCAAACGCCUGAAAGUCGAAACAACGCUGUUAAAUUAUUGUAUGAAUUUGUCCCUAAUGAGCAAAGCCAGAGGCGACGGUAGUGAGGAAAACCCCCCUGAGAUGAUAGGAAGAAGAAACCUUGAGAGGAACCAGAACUCAAAAGGGAACCUGUCCUCAUCUGGGUGACACCGGAUAGUAGGAGGAAAAAGAAUCAGCGACAAAAAAAGGUGAGGGCGAGUGCGGAAAAGAGAGCUGGAAAAACAUCAUCGUGAGAGGUGUGUCCUUUAAGGUAGGAUGUAAGCCAUCAGCUGAGUGAACACAUGUGCAUGCCUGUUCAUCUCUCUCUCUCUCUCUCUCUACUGUAAGAACAAUAAUAAUGUAGCGAUCUGUAAAUCCCCAUGGUGUUCUCGUUGUUGUUAGAAUUUAAUUUCUAAAAUGUUACUAGAACAAUUAAAGAAUUUUUUUAAUGUUCCGAUAUACAGUAAGCCAGAAACAGUUCAUAGUAAUAUACAUCAGUCAUCUAACAGCAACAUCAUGGUAAACAAAUGUGCGCCAGUGAUAUGCAUAUGAUUUAAUAUGAAGUGUCCGUAACGUGUAUGUUCGUAACGCAUUAUUAUGGUUGCUCAGCGCAAAGAUGGGAGAUGAGUUGUUGAUCAUAAUUAGCAUGGACAUUAGGCUAAUUAUGAGUUAGGCUUUGUACAGAAAGUUUUUAGUUAUUUGUAUUAGUAAUUAUUAUAUGAUAUAAACCUAAUCUUGAAAAUGUUACAGACGUGACACAGCACUAAAGCAUCAUGACUUCCUAAAUAUAGCCCUUAUGAAUUCAAAAUGCAUCGCUGUUAUGACAAAGUGAGUGUAUUUAUUUCUCAGACAUUUGUCCAUUGUUCUGCAAAAUGCUUAUUGUUAAUAUAAAGUUUUUAAAAAGGAGUGUUUUGAACCCUCUUUUGAAAACAUGAAAUAUGGCUGGUUGAAAAUGUCGUUUUAGUAUUGGUGCACACCUCAUACCUGGUGGAUGAACAUGACAAUUUUCUUAACAUUUCUAUUACAGCACAUUACAGUCAUGGCCAAAAGUUUGCGAUCACUAUACUACAUAUUAUAUAUGUAUAGUGAUCGCAAACUUUUGGCCAUGACUGUAAUGCAGUAAAAUACAGACCUAAAUGGACAACUUAAAAAGGGGGUUGUUCUUUUGUUAAGAAAUUCAUUUUUAAAAGGUAAGGUUGACAUUUGCAUGGAUUAUAACAUGUUGUUAUAGGAAAAUAAUCCAAUUUGGGGUGGUAACAGUAACUCCGGGUUACAUCGGGCCACAUCACACCACCCUGUUGAUGAUUAUUUUUCUAUAACAGCACCCGUUGUGUUUUAUGAUGACUUAUUUGUUACUCUGAUUGAGCUAUGUCUAUAUCAACCAAUGACUGCUUUUACAACCUUGUGUUAAUGUAGUGCACGUUGUAAUAACUAGUACUCUGGGGUAACCAUAAGACAACUUAUUGCAGUGAUAGAAUUAUUUUAAAAGUGACAAUUAUUUGGGUUUAGAUAUCAUGGCUGUAAAGGCAGCUCCCUGGGAUAGGCUCCAGGUCUCCCCGUGACCCUGAAAGGAGUUAAGCGGUAUAGAAGAUGGAUGGAUGGAUGGCUGUAAAGGCAGUUUUUCAGUAAAAUAAACAAUUAAAACAAUAACGAAAUAUAACACUAAAUAUUUAUGGUGCUGAAAUCAUGCUUUAUUAAACCAAAAAUUCAUAAAACUCAAGGAGGCAGAAUAUAUAGGUAAUUCUACAUAUAUUAAUUGCUAUUGAAUCAAAGUGCAGGGUAUUGCAUUCAUGUGUUUUAUGUUUUCUUUGCACAGCAGAUGUAGUUACUGUGGUACACUGCUUGAAUACCCUGACAAAGUGAGAUCCUAACACUAACACACACACUAACAAAAAAAAAAAACAA